RNAcentral lists this transfer RNA (73 nucleotides) under Sus scrofa (pig). It matches the Rfam family "tRNA". From Rfam's summary of the family: Transfer RNA (tRNA) molecules are approximately 80 nucleotides in length. Their secondary structure includes four short double-helical elements and three loops (D, anti-codon, and T loops). Lineage: Eukaryota; Metazoa; Chordata; Mammalia; Artiodactyla; Suidae. The record is from Rfam by way of RNAcentral.
UCCCUGGUGGCCUAGUGGUUAAGGAUCCGGCAUUGUAAUUGCUGAGGCUCGGGUUUAGUCCCUGGCCUGGGAA